GAUGAACGCUGGCGGCGCGCCUAACACAUGCAAGUCGAACGGCACCCCUCCUCGGAGGGAAGCGAGUGGCGAACGGCUGAGUAACACGUGGAGAACCUGCCCCCUCCCCCGGGAUAGCCGCCCGAAAGGACGGGUAAUACCGGAUACCCCGGGGUGCCGCAUGGCACCCCGGCUAAAGCCCCGACGGGAGGGGAUGGCUCCGCGGCCCAUCAGGUAGACGGCGGGGUGACGGCCCACCGUGCCGACAACGGGUAGCCGGGUUGAGAGACCGACCGGCCAGAUUGGGACUGAGACACGGCCCAGACUCCUACGGGAGGCAGCAGUGGGGAAUCUUGCGCAAUGGGGGGAACCCUGACGCAGCGACGCCGCGUGCGGGACGGAGGCCUUCGGGUCGUAAACCGCUUUCAGCAGGGAAGAGUCAAGACUGUACCUGCAGAAGAAGCCCCGGCUAACUACGUGCCAGCAGCCGCGGUAAUACGUAGGGGGCGAGCGUUAUCCGGAUUCAUUGGGCGUAAAGCGCGCGUAGGCGGCCCGGCAGGCCGGGGGUCGAAGCGGGGGGCUCAACCCCCCGAAGCCCCCGGAACCUCCGCGGCUUGGGUCCGGUAGGGGAGGGUGGAACACCCGGUGUAGCGGUGGAAUGCGCAGAUAUCGGGUGGAACACCGGUGGCGAAGGCGGCCCUCUGGGCCGAGACCGACGCUGAGGCGCGAAAGCUGGGGGAGCGAACAGGAUUAGAUACCCUGGUAGUCCCAGCCG
Molecule: ribosomal RNA, 754 nt
Filed under: uncultured bacterium
Lineage: Bacteria
Description: bacterial SSU rRNA
Rfam family: Bacterial small subunit ribosomal RNA
Source: RNAcentral